UACGUAGGGUGCAAGCGUUAAUCGGAAUUACUGGGCGUAAAGCGUGCGCAGGCGGUUUUGUAAGUCUGAUGUGAAAUCCCCGGGCUCAACCUGGGAACUGCAUUUGUGACUGCAUGGCUAGAGUUUGGCAGAGGGGGGUAGAAUUCCACGUGUAGCAGUGAAAUGCGUAGAUAUGUGGAGGAACACCGAUGGCGAAGGCAGCCCCCUGGGUCAAGACUGACGCUCAUGCACGAAAGCGUGGGGAGCAAACAGG
This 253-nucleotide ribosomal RNA is filed under the name uncultured bacterium. Its description in RNAcentral is "partial 16S ribosomal RNA". It matches the Rfam family "Bacterial small subunit ribosomal RNA", at positions 524 to 776 of the family's 1533-position model. The record is from RNAcentral.